This is an unclassified non-coding RNA of Pongo abelii (Sumatran orangutan), 148 nucleotides long. It matches the Rfam family "Metazoan signal recognition particle RNA". Rfam says of the family: The signal recognition particle (SRP) is a universally conserved ribonucleoprotein. It is involved in the co-translational targeting of proteins to membranes. The record is from Ensembl. Lineage: Eukaryota; Metazoa; Chordata; Mammalia; Primates; Hominidae.
GCCAGGCAUGGUGGCGGGCACCUGUAAUCCCAGCUACUCGGGAGGCUAAGGCGGGAGGAUUGCCUGAGCCCGGGAGGUUGAGGCUGCAGUGAGCUGAGAUCAUGCCACUGCACUCCAGCCUGGGCAAUAUAGCAAGACCCUGUCUUUU